CGAGAUUCCGGUAGUAGCGGCGAGCGAACCUGGAUUAGCCCUUAAGCACUCGGUGAAGUAGGUGAACAAGCUGGAAAGCUUGGCGAUACAGGGUGAUAGCCCCGUAACCGACGCUUCAUCGAGCGUGAAAUCGAGUAGGGCGGGACACGUGAUAUCCUGUCUGAAUAUGGGGGGACCAUCCUCCAAGGCUAAAUACUCCUGACUGACCGAUAGUGAACCAGUACCGUGAGGGAAAGGCGAAAAGAACCCCUGUGAGGGGAGUGAAAUAGAACCUGAAACCGUGUACGUACAAGCAGUAGGAGCACCUUCGUGGUGUGACUGCGUACCUUUUGUAUAAUGGGUCAGCGACUUAUAUUCAGUGGCAAGGUUAACCGUAUAGGGGAGCCGUAGCGAAAGCGAGUCUUAACUGGGCGCUCAGUCUCUGGAUAUAGACCCGAAACCGGGUGAUCUAGCCAUGGGCAGGUUGAAGGUUGAGUAACAUCAACUGGAGGACCGAACCGACUAAUGUUGAAAAAUUAGCGGAUGACUUGUGGCUAGGGGUGAAAGGCCAAUCAAACUCGGAGAUAGCUGGUUCUCCCCGAAAGCUAUUUAGGUAGCGCCUCGGACGAAUACUACUGGGGGUAGAGCACUGUUAAGGCUAGGGGGUCAUCCCGACUUACCAACCCUUUGCAAACUCCGAAUACCAGUAAGUACUAUCCGGGAGACACACGGCGGGUGCUAACGUCCGUCGUGGAGAGGGAAACAACCCAGACCGCCAGCUAAGGUCCCAAAGUAUUGCUAAGUGGGAAACGAUGUGGGAAGGCUCAGACAGCUAGGAUGUUGGCUUAGAAGCAGCCAUCAUUUAAAGAAAGCGUAAUAGCUCACUAGUCGAGUCGGCCUGCGCGGAAGAUGUAACGGGGCUAAGCAAUACACCGAAGCUGCGGCAAUAUCUUUUAGAUAUUGGGUAGGGGAGCGUUCUGUAAGCCGUUGAAGGUGAAUCGUAAGGUUUGCUGGAGGUAUCAGAAGUGCGAAUGCUGACAUGAGUAACGACAAAGGGGGUGAAAAACCUCCUCGCCGGAAGACCAAGGGUUCCUGUCCAACGUUAAUCGGGGCAGGGUGAGUCGACCCCUAAGGUGAGGCCGAAAGGCGUAAUCGAUGGGAAACGGGUUAAUAUUCCCGUACUUCUGACUAUUGCGAUGGGGGGACGGAGAAGGCUAGGUGGGCCAGGCGACGGUUGUCCUGGUUCAAGUGCGUAGGCUUGAGAGUUAGGUAAAUCCGGCUCUCUCUAAGGCUGAGACACGACGUCGAGCUGCUACGGCAGUGAAGUCAUUGAUGCCAUGCUUCCAGGAAAAGCCUCUAAGCUUCAGAUAGUCAGGAAUCGUACCCCAAACCGACACAGGUGGUCGGGUAGAGAAUACCAAGGCGCUUGAGAGAACUCGGGUGAAGGAACUAGGCAAAAUGGUACCGUAACUUCGGGAGAAGGUACGCUCUUGAUGGUGAAGUCCCUCGCGGAUGGAGCUGACGAGAGUCGCAGAUACCAGGUGGCUGCAACUGUUUAUUAAAAACACAGCACUGUGCAAAAUCGCAAGAUGACGUAUACGGUGUGACGCCUGCCCGGUGCCGGAAGGUUAAUUGAUGGGGUUAGCGCAAGCGAAGCUCUUGAUCGAAGCCCCGGUAAACGGCGGCCGUAACUAUAACGGUCCUAAGGUAGCGAAAUUCCUUGUCGGGUAAGUUCCGACCUGCACGAAUGGCGUAAUGAUGGCCACGCUGUCUCCACCCGAGACUCAGUGAAAUUGAAAUCGCUGUGAAGAUGCAGUGUACCCGCGGCUAGACGGAAAGACCCCGUGAACCUUUACUACAGCUUGGCACUGAACAUUGAACCUACAUGUGUAGGAUAGGUGGGAGGCUAUGAAGACGUGACGCCAGUUGCGUUGGAGCCGUCCUUGAAAUACCACCCUUGUAUGUUUGAUGUUCUAACUUAGACCCAUUAUCUGGGUUGAGGACAGUGCCUGGUGGGUAGUUUGACUGGGGCGGUCUCCUCCCAAAGAGUAACGGAGGAGCACGAAGGUGGGCUAAUCACGGUUGGACAUCGUGAGGUUAGUGCAAUGGCAUAAGCCCGCUUAACUGCGAGAAUGACGGUUCGAGCAGGUGCGAAAGCAGGUCAUAGUGAUCCGGUGGUUCUGUAUGGAAGGGCCAUCGCUCAACGGAUAAAAGGUACUCCGGGGAUAACAGGCUGAUACCGCCCAAGAGUUCAUAUCGACGGCGGUGUUUGGCACCUCGAUGUCGGCUCAUCACAUCCUGGGGCUGAAGUCGGUCCCAAGGGUAUGGCUGUUCGCCAUUUAAAGUGGUACGCGAGCUGGGUUUAGAACGUCGUGAGACAGUUCGGUCCCUAUCUGCCGUGGGCGUUGGAAGAUUGAAGGGGGCUGCUCCUAGUACGAGAGGACCGGAGUGGACGAACCUCUGGUGUUCGGGUUGUGUCGCCAGACGCAUUGCCCGGUAGCUAAGUUCGGAAUUGAUAAGCGCUGAAAGCAUCUAAGCGCGAAGCGAGCCCUGAGAUGAGUCUUCCCUGA
Molecule: ribosomal RNA, 2549 nt
Filed under: Vibrio cholerae
Lineage: Bacteria; Pseudomonadati; Pseudomonadota; Gammaproteobacteria; Vibrionales; Vibrionaceae
Description: partial 23S ribosomal RNA
Rfam family: Bacterial large subunit ribosomal RNA
Source: RNAcentral